This 392-nucleotide ribosomal RNA is filed under the name Smicronyx fulvus (red sunflower seed weevil). RNAcentral describes it as "partial 16S ribosomal RNA". Lineage: Eukaryota; Metazoa; Arthropoda; Insecta; Coleoptera; Curculionidae. The record is from RNAcentral.
AAAUUUUAAAUGGCCGCAGUAUUUUGACUGUGCAAAGGUAGCAUAAUCAUUAGUUUCUUAAUUAGAAGCUUGUAUGAAAGGUUGGAUGAGAAAGUUACUGUCUCUAUUUAAAUUUAUUAGAAUUUUAUAUUUAAGUAAAAAAGCUUAAAUACAUAUAGAAGACGAGAAGACCCUAUAGAGUUUUAUAUUAUUAUUAUUUAUAUCUUUUAGUAUUAUAAUUAUAUAAUUAGUUAUAUAUUUGAUUGGGGUGAUUAAAAAAUUUAUUGAACUUUUUUUGUAUUAUUUCAUUAAUUUAUGAAUUAUUGAUCCUUAAUUUAAGAUUAAAAGAAUAAAUUACCUUAGGGAUAACAGCGUAAUUUUUUUUAAGAGUUCUAAUCAAAAAAAAAGUUUGC